ACAGCCUAUCCGCCGUUCGGAGCCACCAUC
Molecule: non-coding RNA, 30 nt
Filed under: Actinoplanes sp. SE50/110
Lineage: Bacteria; Bacillati; Actinomycetota; Actinomycetes; Micromonosporales; Micromonosporaceae
Source: RNAcentral